Molecule: long non-coding RNA, 1563 nt
Organism: Macadamia integrifolia
Lineage: Eukaryota; Viridiplantae; Streptophyta; Magnoliopsida; Proteales; Proteaceae
Exons: 3
Source: RefSeq, a predicted model, not a curated record
AAAACAAACGAGUUCAAAGCAGAAAUGGAAUCACAAAGGAGAUUAGCAGAGGAGAAAACAUCUCCUGUGAAAGAAUUUCCCUUUUUUGUUUUAAUGGGUAGUUCUAACGGCUAGAUUUCAUAAACUUGGGUGAGGGUUUUCUUCCCCUGUUCUCUCUCCUUUUUGGGUUUUAUAUGGUUCUUCUUGAUCUGAGGAAAAAAAAAAAAAACAAGGAAGAUGUUUAUUGAGUUACAGGGUUACGGAUUAUAACUAUUCAAAGUAGAUGAAAAGUACAGAGAGAAACAGUCUUCAGAGCUGAUGGGUAUACAGAUUUGGGAUUAUUAGUGUAGGAUUUCAACCUUCUUCCGGAAGAAGAACCAGAAGAACGAGGAGAGAUGUGAAGGAUUUGUGGGUUCUAAUCAGAUAAGUUUGAAGUUGCUAAGGGCAAUGUAACUAUCACUCAUUUAAGACAUGAUAGUUUGGAGUUGCAGAGUCAGAAUCUCAUAGACGAAGGGGAGGCAAGAACGGAAGAGGGUUUGCAGAAGCGAGAAUCUCGGUUCGUUUCCUUCUUCCUCAUUUGCAGAGUCUUUCCCAGUUUCAGAUCGUCCUUGAAAAUAGGGAAGGAAGAGGGUUCACAGCUUCGUCAUUCUUCUUCGUCCUUGUGCUUCACAGAGCAGGUGGCUUGGGGAUAAGCGUUUAUUUCAAGUUUAAAAGCAACUUCAUCUUCAACCGUCAGAUUUAAUGAGGACAGGUGUCAGUCAUUGGCGAAGAAUUGGCAGAUCAAGAAUUGGAGACGAGCAAAAUCCCGCUCGGAGAGCCCCUCUUCCUUUUAUUGAAACGUGGAAUGGCGAAUUGGCAACAGACCCUAAUCGAAUCCUUUUCCCGCUCCAAUCUGAAGCCCAAUUGAGGUCUUUUUCCCGCCAAAGAUAAAGUAGAAGACAAUCCGACCUACCCCUCUCUUUAUUCUUUGAUUUCAAUUCAGUUUCUGUCUUCUGCUUCGUUGCAAUUCUCGGGUACCAUCUCUCUCUUCCAUUAGGUGAAAGAGUGAACUUCCUGAAGUGAACGACAAAUAGGCUGAAGCCGCUGAACAAAACGUGGUUGAUCGGGAUAUGCCACAUGCAUGCUCUUUCAAAAUUUUGAGGGCUUUGUAAGUAUUCCCUCUCACCCUAUAUCAUUGCAUUUGUCAACUCUCUUAUUUAUGUACAUAAGUGCUUAGGAACCAAACUGUUGUGCUUCAUUUUAAAGUUACAGGAUUUAUAAAAUUGCUGCUCUCUUAUUCGAUGUCCUGGUUUAUGUCCUAAAGGUUUUGCAGUUAUUAUCUUACAGAAAGCAACUAGUUUUCCUAUGUAGGGCUUGGAAGUGAAAAAUGGUAUAAGAGGGUCCGGGUAAAAUUUCAAAGUCAAUUGGAAUUGCUUUGUUUUGAAUAAGAGAGAAUUUUUACAGAAUUGUUAUUGGAAGUUUGUGAGAACUCUCUUUCCUCUCUCUCCUUCCCCAAUCAGCUGGUAAUUUUCUUUCCCCAGCCCUGUGACACUACUGCCUUCUUUCUCUUCUUUCUUUUCCUAUCAGUCUAAUCAUGUACUGACC